Molecule: ribosomal RNA, 1465 nt
Filed under: metagenome
Description: bacterial SSU rRNA
Rfam family: Bacterial small subunit ribosomal RNA
Source: RNAcentral
AGAGUUUGAUCCUGGCUCAGGAUGAACGCUAGCGGUGUGCUUUAUGCAUGCAAGUCGAACGAUGAACUGGUCUUCGGACUAGGGAAGAGUGGCAAACGGGUGAGUAACACGUAAGUGACCUACCCUUAAGUUGGGGACAACCCCGGGAAACCGGGGCUAAUACCGAAUGUGAUGGCCGGCUAAAGUCGGUCAUUAAAGCCUUAGGGCGCUUAGGGAGGGGCUUGCGCCCGAUUAGCUUGUUGGUGGGGUAAAAGCCUACCAAGGCUAUGAUCGGUAGCUGGUCUGAGAGGACGAUCAGCCACACUGGGACUGAGACACGGCCCAGACUCCUACGGGAGGCAGCAGCAAGGAAUUUUGGGCAAUGGGCGAAAGCCUGACCCAGCAACACCGCGUGGGGGAGGAAGGCCCUCGGGUUGUAAACCCCUUUUACGAGGGAAGAAUAAAAUGACGGUACCUCGUGAAUAAGCCUUGGCUAAAUACGUGCCAGCAGCCGCGGUAAUACGUAUGAGGCAAGCGUUAUCCGGAUUUACUGGGCGUAAAGAGAACGUAGGCGGCUUUUCAAGUCGGAUGUGAAAUUUCUCGGCUCAACCGAGAGGGGUCAUUCGAUACUGUUAGGCUUGAGGACAGCAGGUGGAAACGGAACUCCCGGUGUAGUGGUGGAAUGCGUAGAUACCGGGAAGAACACCAGAGGCGAAGGCGGUUUCCAAGGCUGUAUCUGACGCUGAGGUCCGAAAGCGUGGGUAGCGAACAGGAUUAGAUACCCAGGUAGUCCACGCUGUAAACGAUGGACACUAGGUAUAGGGAGUAUCGACCCUCUCUGUGCCGAAGCUAACGCUCUAAGUGUCCCGCCUGGGGACUACGGCCGCAAGGCUAAAACUCAAAGGAAUUGACGGGGGCCCGCACAAGCAGCGGAGCGUGUGGUUUAAUUCGAUUCAACGCGAAGAACCUUACCAAGGCUUGACAUGCUGGUAGUAGCGAACCGAAAGGUAAGCGACCCGUAAAAUCGGGAACCUUCACAGGUGCUGCAUGGCUGUCGUCAGCUCGUGCCGUGAGGUGUUUGGUUAAGUCCUGCAACGAGCGCAACCCUCGUCGCUAGUUGAUUUCUCUAGCGAGACUGCCCUGCAAAACGGGGAGGAAGGUGGGGAUGACGUCAAGUCAGCAUGGCCCUUAUGCCUUGGGCUACACACACGCUACAAUGGGUGGUACAGUAGGUUGCAAUGGAGCGAUCCGGAGCCAAUCCCCAAAACCAUCCCAAGUACGAAUUAUAGGCUGAAACUCGCCUGUAUGAAGUUGGAGUUGCUAGUAACCGCGUAUCAGCACGGCGCGGUGAAUACGUUCUCGGGCCUUGUACACACCGCCCGUCACGUCAUGAAAGUCGGAAACACCUGAAGUCGAUGCGCUAACCCUUUUGGGAGGCAGUCGCCGAAGGUGGGGCUGAUGAUUGGGACGAAGUCGUAACAAGGUA